CAGUAUGAGGUCAGCCACGGCAUGCCUGGGGUCACUUUCCAUUCCCUCCGUUGUCCAGGACCAACUGCGUUCGCCCAGGCCCCCCAGAGCUGCGGGAGCAGAAUUCCUUAUCUGCAAAUCUGUGCACUCACUACCUUUUGCUGUGACCUCCAGAUCAGAACUCAUAAGGUUUCCUGGGCGUACAUUCCCAGCUGAGGCUAUGCGGCCGCUCGAGGAUUUAAACCCGCACCCCCUCUGGCUCCUGCACCGCAUCCGUCUCCAAAGCAAGGACUCGGUCCUGUCCAUCUCUGCCCUCCAGUGUUCUGCCCGAGACCCAGCAAACAGGAGGCACUGACACGUGACGCCGUGUGGAUGAACCUGGAAAGCAUCCUGGGAAGUGAGAAGCCAGAUCCCAAAGGCCGCGCCUUGUAGGAUUCCUUUUGCGUGAAAUGUCGGGACUGGGCAAGUCCAGAGACAGAAAGCAGGCUGGUGGCUGGCAGGGGCUGGCGGGGGACAGGGAGGGUCUCCCGGGCUGGGGGCAGGUGGGCGGGGCCCUCAGGCAGGUCUGGUGCCAGCGUCCUCCAGGGCCUGGAGGAAAAAGGACUGAGCCACCGGCGGGCACGGGGACCGCACGCUUCCCCCAGCAUCUCCCACACAGAGGGUUCCAGUACUUACCC
Molecule: long non-coding RNA, 656 nt
Organism: Neofelis nebulosa (Clouded leopard)
Lineage: Eukaryota; Metazoa; Chordata; Mammalia; Carnivora; Felidae
Exons: 4
Source: RefSeq, a predicted model, not a curated record